AGCUCCAAUAGCGUAUAUUAAAGUUGUUGCAGUUAAAAAGCUCGUAGUCGGAUCUGAGGCGCCGGCGGGCGGUCCCUCCGCGUGAGGGUCUUACUGCCCGCUCCGGCCCUGACCCGCCGGCGUGCGGCCGGUGCUCUUGACUGAGUGCCGGCAGCGGCCGGAACGUUUACUUUGAAGAAAUUAGAGUGUUCAAGGCAGGCGGUUCGCCUGAAUGGUGGUGCAUGGAAUAAUGGAACAGGACCCCGGUUCUAUUCUGUUGGUCUUUGGAGCUCGAGGUAAUGAUCAAGAGGGACGGACGGGGGCAUUCGUAUUGCGGUGUGAGAGGUGAAAUUCUUAGAUCGCCGCAAGACGGGCUGCUGCGAAAGCGUUUGCCAAGAACGUUUUCAUUGAUCAAGAACGA
Molecule: ribosomal RNA, 400 nt
Filed under: phytoplankton environmental sample
Lineage: Eukaryota
Description: partial small subunit ribosomal RNA
Rfam family: Eukaryotic small subunit ribosomal RNA
Source: RNAcentral